Molecule: non-coding RNA, 6415 nt
Organism: Anas platyrhynchos (mallard)
Lineage: Eukaryota; Metazoa; Chordata; Aves; Anseriformes; Anatidae
Source: RefSeq, a predicted model, not a curated record
UCACUGGACCUGAUCCUAACCCAUGGACUGACUUCCUGGAUUGACCCUUGGAUGUGCUUCGUCAUGAUGAUACUGCAUUAUCAUCCUGGACACUUGCUCAAGCCAGGCUGCCAUCUCUGUGUCUGCCGUGCUUGCCUCAUUCAGGAACAAUAUAUCAUUGCCUAUCCCUAAGAAGAAAGGUUUAGAGAGCAAAUUCUGCUGGGAUAGAGUUGAAGGAGUGUCUCCUCUGGAGGAAGACAAAUUUCUUUCUUUCCAAGCGCCCUUUCUGCAGACCCUGGGAGAAGCUGACCUCUCAAGGUGCCUGAAUUUCCUCUUGGAUGCUCACCCCAAAAGGGACUAACAUGCAUACAGCACGUGUAAUCAGUGGAGCUGGACCAAACAAGGAGUGACCCAAUUUGCCAAUGCCAACACAAUAGGCAGCUACCACCUUAACUACCUGCUGGGUGUCUCAGCUCAGGUGAUGUGACAAUUUCCCAGUGACAGCAAUUAUCUUUCUGGUCUGCAAUUCACUUUUUGGUGGGUUUAUCAUGGCAUCCCAGAUAAAAUAUGCAUGAGCACAUUCUGUCCAUCCUCCACAGCCAGACUUCUCUUACCGGCAGGUUAGUAGGCACACUGGUGUAGUUGGCAGCGUUAGAAAUGUUUUUCAUCCUUGCUACAGAAAUAUGAUGGUGGAGCACUUACUUGCAAGGGCCCUCUAGAUUUGUUCUUGGUACCAUUGUCUUGCUCUGAUUUCAUCCACAUUUUACUGGAAAACAGUACAGAACCAACAUAAGACUAAUGCAUAGCCUUUAAAAAAUUCAGAGAUGCAGACAGACAAUAUUAUAAACACUGUGGGCUUUAUUUAUUUAUUUAUUUUUAGUUUGUCUCAUUCCUGAAGCUGCCUUCAGCAGUUUCUGCCAGAAAAUACUGUUAUUAGAUUGUUGUAUUACAGUAGUAUUCAGCUAAUGAUUUUUAGGAAAUGGCUACAGAGAUAUCUAUUUGUCUGUGUGUGUGAAAGAGAAAUAUGCCAUUUAUAUGAAACAUCCCGUCCAUAGCCAUACCCAGUUAGUAUUGGAAGACUGUUUAUAGACUCAGUUGUACUCUGUUGGUGCUAAAAUUGAUUUCUUGGCUGAAUUAUUCUGCAAUAGAAUAAGCCCACUAAUUGUGCACCUAAAUAAAAUUGAAUUUUAACAAAUUGACUUUUAUUUUACCUAGGAUGAUAAUUUAUUGACACAAAUAGAACUUCUUAAUUAAAUUUGGCAUAUCCAGGUCUGUUGAGGACAUGUUAAACCCUUUUGCCAUGUGGUUUUAGAGUACAAAAAAAAAAAAAAUAGACUAUCUUGAUAUUCCUAGAUUAAAUUCUGUUUAUUGCAGGUUGUACAGCCAGUCAAUUAUUUUGACUAUGUAGUUCUUAAGGAUCCCACAUGGAUUUAGCAUAGAUCUUCUGUGAAGAAGGACUAUUAAUUUAUAAUUUCUCAUUAAACACAUCAGAGAUUGAAACCCAUUGUUACUAUUCUAGAAAUAGGUGUCUUAAUUCAAGAGUGCCUCACAUGCAAUCUGUAAAAAUGGAAGGAAAGCGAGGAGUACAGAAUUACAUUUAUCACCAUCUCUCACAGUCUGGAUCUUGCUAAUGCUGGAGAAGGUCACUAGAAAGGAAAAUAGCUGCAGCAUCACCAGUGCUUUAGGGGAAACUGAAGGCUCAGGGUCCUCACCUACACAUUUGCUGAGAUAAUCCCCCUGGAGGAGUUGUCAAUGAAGUUGCCCUGUUCUAUGCAGCAGGUAGGGCACCUCAGUCUCAGUGGUAACCCUGGUAAUAUGAGGCCUUGGAUUCUUCCUGGAGACCAGAGUUGAUCCCUGUGGUCUUCUGCUUUGUGGAGUGUGAUGGAAGCUUGAACCAGAGGGUGAAUGUCUGUAAAUGUCCAUAACUUUCCAGUAAAGCUUGAACCAGAAGUAAAUGUCCAUAUGUCUGAUACCACAUCAAAGAACAAGGCUGACGCUACUGACUGCCUGUUCUGCAGGACAGGCAGGAUCUAUGAGGUGCUGGUAGGCACUUCUUGGUUCCCAGCAGUAAGUGCUGCCAACCUGCCUCCUCCUUGAAGUGCUGUCACUGGUACCAACAAAGCAGGAGAGGAGCAAAGUAGUCUUUAAUGAAAGAUCAGCAGAUCUUUCUUCUUGCUCAUUCCUUAGGGCUGCAAACCACGAAGGAGAAAACAAAAACUUUCUUGACUUCAUACUUAGGGACAAGAGGAUGGAUUAAAUUCUAAUUGUGUUAUCAUGCUUCACCCAAAGUUAUGAUAUUUUUUCUUGAUUUCUAUAGCCGCUUUGCAUUUAGGUCUUAUAUUUUUGUGUUAUACAAGUAUGCAUUGGUAGAACACCCAGAUAUUUACAUUCAGGAUAAAUAUACAAAGAAAAAAUGCAGUGAAAACCAGCUGUGAAACAAAGAUAUAUGUGAUGUCAGAGUACAUAUAGCAGUCUUCAGUUAAGGUUUCUCCCUUUCCUAGUUAUGUAAACAUGUUGCUAUAUGGUUUCUGAACAAGGAGGUACCUGUUUUUGUCUCUUUGAAAAGAAGAGCAGCUGCUUUGUUGCUGCUUUGCUCAGGGAAUGGACUCUGCUUUCAAGGGACAGUGCCUGAGCAGGUUUACUGCUAUGUGUCCUUUCACCUGGGUGCCUACAACUUACUGCUGCUCAGUUAAUUUAAAGGUGACUGCAUUAAACUAUCAGAUUGGUAAACACUGCCUAACAUGCUGGUCAAUGUACUGCUUGUAUUUCAGAGCAUGUAUUUCACAGGGGGAGAUCUCUGCCUUUUUGGUAUCCUGUUUUGAUCAGGUUACAAGUGCAGCAGUCCCCUGGGCUCUGCUCAGAGGAGCACGCCCAAGGACUGGACUGGGCUUGGCUUGCAGGGGCACUCUACCUUUCUACUUCUUUUCCAUCAUUUGCAACGAUGAAGCAAGGUUUUGGCUUGAAAAGUCUCAGUGUUAAGUAGGAUGGCAGCAUUUUGGACUACACUGAAGUGGUAGAAGUCUGUUCACGGGUAAAUUCCUUGAGGUGCUUGGGAGUCACUCUUUACUGCUAUUUGCUGCCAGUAGCAUCUUCUUUUGCUUUCUCCCAAUUUACGACUCCAUUUUGAAGUCUGUAGGCCUAAUAUGUUUCGCGCUGUUCCUUUUCUUUAGUAACACAGCAGGCAGACACCAUCAAGCAGCUCAAAACACCCUCCUUAGGUUUCCAGAAUGAAGCUAUUAGCCAAGGAAAAACACCACUUCUUCCCUCCUUUACCCAUCUGGUGCCUACUCUGCAGGGAUGAAAACUGUCAGUCUGUAAUAGGCUGACACAGUACUGAGAGGGUGGCCUUCUUUAUGAGGGAGGAAUACAUAUUUGUAUGACUUUAAGAUUUUUUUCUUCCUCUAGUUUCUACUGUAUUCUGAAAUGGGCUAUGUACCUGCAUUUGGCAAGAGAAACAAGGAGGAAGGAGGCAGGGGUGAGGAGUGAAACCAUAAACAAGCCAGCCCAAGACAGCCCCUUGUUGUGAGGCUACCUAUUUUGACACAUGCUCGUAUAUUUUAGAGUACAGCACAUUGAAGGUGACUGUUUUGGCUGCUCUCACUCCUGGUUCUUGGCUCCCAGCCUGGCUUCUGGAGUACAGGGAAGAGUCAGCCCCCUGCCAAGCUGACAGGCGCAGACCAGGAGAACUCACCAGCAUCCUCUGCCCUCCAAAAACUAGUCCUCUGCUGGGCACAUGGGGGAACAGUGCCUCAGGUGAGGUGACAGGGCUGCCAGCUCCCAGCAUGGGUUUCAAGACACAGGAUAGCAUAACAUGGGUACAGAAGGCUGAUGCUAAAUGCCUUUUUAAAAAAGAAACAAGCAAACAAUUAAAUAUCUUUAUAUAAAGGAGGGGGAAAUACAAACCCAAACACAUUAUUUCUCAAAUGACUGUAAUAGAAGUUUUCUCAAAAAUUUCUGAAGAUAUAUCAGCUAUUAUACUUGGAUCAGAAAAAAAAAAUAAUUGUAUGCUGGCACACAGUGGGUAAAUAUCAGAUGUUGUCUGCUUGUUGGCUUUUUCUUCCAUCUCCUUCAGAUAUGCUCAUCUGAUUCUCUCUGUAGCCUGAUAACUGAAACUUACUGUUAUCAUUCUGGUCUUGCUAGAGUGCUGUGUCUAAAGUGAGCCACUGCACUUCAAAAAGAGCAAGGACUGACUGAAAAAAGACCAGGAGUCAGCAGUGAGAUACAUUUUAUGAGAAAGAUGGAACUAACCUGAAACUGGGGUGUGUGUGGUAACUAUUUUCAGGAGUUGACAUGUAAUCCUUAAUAAGAUUUUCAAAAACAUCAGCUGUAUGUAUUUAUCCCUCAGAAUGAACUAAAGUAGGACUUGAUUAGCUGAAGGCUCCCUGUGGCAUCUCAGGAAAGGGGUGAGGGCCAAAAAAUUUGGAAGACGGUUCCGGUUUAGAGCGGAUGUGCACUGCGGUGGAAACCACCACAGCACACCCUGACAUCACGCAGGUGUCUGGAGCUCAGGUUGACACCCCUUGCUCUACAGGAUAAAUUAUUUGUUUUAUUUAGGCAUGAAAUAUUCCUAUAUGCCAUAAGGACCUCGAUUAACACAUUUCAGCAUAAUUGUUUAUUUGUAUAUAUCACAUGAGUUUAAAAAAAAAUAGAAAAGUAGAAAUAACCAUUGUGGCUUAUCCUCUUGGUGAGAGAGAUAGAGGCUGUGGCUUGGGAACAAAAUAAAUUUCUUUUUCCCUAGCAUGGAAACAGGACUGGCCCAGAUGGAGAACCAGUUUUCAGAGGCAGGAGAAGCUGGAGGAUGCGGAUUGCCCUGCAGUCCUGGAGCUUUGAACUGUGGACCUCGCCUGCAGAUGCUCUAUUCCAAGGCUGGUCAUGCUGUUGCUGAGUACCAGGGCAAUGUAACUUCCUGAGUUAUUGGUUAAAGCAAAACCAAAACCCGACUUGCAUUAAGAUGACAGUACCAAACUGGAAGCUGAAGUGGUCCUUUCCAUUUGAUUGCGGUCACAUCAGGUCCUUAGACUUGAUCCUGAGCCAUCUGCUAAUUGCUGCAGUUUUGCAGUCAUAUAUCCCAAAGCUAAUUUAGUUUGGAAGAAGCUGUUGGAACAUGGAUACAUCCUUGGAAAUCACCGAGUGCCUCUGUUAAUGGGCACUGCAAAUUGAUGAGCUGCUCCAGCCUGCCCUACCACAGGACAAACUCAGAUAGUGUCCUGUCCUUCACAGACUUCUUAGGCCCUGUGCUGUUGAGUAGCUUUGGAGGAUGCUGCAAGCUAAAGGAAGCCCUGAGGCUAUCUGUCCAUAAUACCAGACUGAAGAGCUGUCUAAACACUGAAACUACAGGCAAGACACCAGAGCACCUGGGAACCCCAUGACAGAGCAUGCCAACACAUUUAUUUGCCUGCUGGCAUGUGAGAACUGCCCUGUCAGUUGGUUAUGGGGCACAUGGUGCAUGGGAUGCAGAUGGGUCAUGCUUCAGGAUGCUCUGGAGGCUUCUCUUCUUGAGCAGUACAAUUGCUGCUGCCAAAGCUCAAACUGCAGCACCACUCUGCACCCCAAAACAUUGUCAGGCAUGCUAAAGAAAAGCAGAGACUAAAUGCAGAGUGCAUUUGGACCAAGGCGGGAUCUUCAGGUUACUGCUGUUUCUUGUGAGCCUGUAUGUGUCCCUUUGAAUACAGCAGUGACAACAUAGCAAAACGUUGCUGAUGAUGCUGCACCAAACUCUCUGGGGACCUUUUAUCGACAUGGGUCUGUCAAGGUUAUUAGAAACAUCAAACUAAACAAAACGUGAUGGAAGGAUAGACACUGAUUUGUCAUCAUCUUUUCCUGUUAUAACCAGUCCUCUUAUGCUCUCCAUCACUCUGAUGCCCCGUUUGACUCAGUCUGUUAAGGUACUUGUCCUCAUGACACCCCAGUGAGGUGAGGGAAGAGCUGUAGAUGGGCACAGACAGUGUGUCUGUGUUAAUAACAAGUGAAAAAACAUUUCCAGAACUGGCUUGUGCCCCUGAGGUCACAAGCACCACGUGGGCUGUGACAGCUACCAGGGUCACCCUGGAAUAGGACUGCAAGUUGUUAUGUGCAGGCUGCAGCACAAGGCACAGUUCAACCAUGCUUCCCAGGGCCAGAGGUAUUGGAUCUUGUUAGCAGAGUCCAUAGCUGAUGGCAUGCAUCAGUUCUGAUUGUGCAAAUUAUUUUGUGGGGAAAAUAAAAACAGAAGAGAAGAGACUGUUUUGUGUGAUGCAGUUGCUGUGGAAGACUGCCAGUUGAGGAAAUGGUGGGCUGUCUCUAGUGUCCUCUGUGUCCACAUCUGGGGCCACAGGUGUCCAGCUCCUCACAAGGACUACAAAGAGAGGUGCCUGAACUUAGAUGUGUAGGACCUCUGGUCCUGAACCAAGUAUGCUAAGGGGCUUGGUAGCAGUCCCUCUCUCACAGAGCUGGUACA